AGGGAAGGGGCGGCAGCGAGCUCGCCAGGCGGCCAGGAACCCGGGUGGGGCCGGGACCGAGGCGGUGGCUGGCCAGCGGAGCUCAGGCCGGGCGCGGCGCGCCGGGUGAAGGCGGCAAGGCGGCAAGGCCCCGGCCGAGGCCGGCGGAGCCGCGCAGCUGCGGCCGGCUGACGUGAGCGGCGUGCGGGUCCCGGCCGGCAGCGCGCUGGCGGCCAUGGCGGUGGCGCUGGCGGGCCGCGGGGCGCGCGGCGGCAGGGGCCGGCCCCCGGGCGGGCGGGCGGAGGGGGCGGGGCCGGGGCGCCGGGCGGCCCGCGCGACAGCGGCGGCGAAGACGACGGAGACGGGGGGCGCUGGGGCUGAUGACAGCGGCCGGGCCCGGGGCGGCGCCGUCCCCGCGGCGGUGCGACAGCGACCCGGCCUCCCCCGGAGCGCAGUCCCCAAAGGUGAGCGGAGCGCGCUGCCCAACGGGCAGCGGCCCAGGCCGGGCUCGGGAGAGAAGAGGAGACGGGGCGGCGGGUCCUGGAGCAACGAGUGCGGCGGACAGUGGGCGCGGACGUCGGGGAGACCUGCGCGGCGGGGUGGGAAGUUGUCCGGGAAUAGCUGGGACCGGGGGACUCGGGAAGAGUGCUUGAGACGAAGCGCCCCCAGCCUGGGAAAGUCGGAAAAGUUGGCGGCCUUGGGGAUCUCAGUCGGGGAGACGCUGAGCGGGACGUGCGCUCGGGGUCCCGAGUUGGCAGAACGUGGAUUCACACCCACGUUCCUGGCCGCAGGCAGCUGCAGGGCCGGACUGAGAACUUCUGGCUUCGGCGGCAGCAGCAUGCACUGGCCAAGGCUGGCUUCAAACCCUGUAUCUACCUCCCGAGUGUUGGGAUUACAGAUGUGUACCACCAUGCUGGGUAUAUUCAGUGCUGGAGAUUGAGCCCGCAGCUUCAUGACUGCCAGGCAAGCACUGCCUUCACUAAAUGCAGCCCCAGAGCUAUAGCUGAAACCUUGCAUGAGCUUCUUCUUCUUGCCUAUUACCAUCAACAUCUUCCUAAAAACAGUAAUAGAAAGCAAGAGAUCUGAAGUUCUGUGUUCAUCCAUGAGGAUUCUCACACUCACGUCGCCGAGGGCUCGCUCCAGACAGGAAGCUAGUUUCAUCACGCCGAGGGAGACGGCAGCAGGCUGCGAGCUUUGCAAGGCAUCAAGUAUCUCAAGAAACAACUAUUCAGAGGAAGACACACACUCGAGCUCAGAUUCAGUGAAAGAUGUUUCUCAAAGCAACAAUAAUGUUUAUUCAAUUACUAUUUCCGCACUCAAGCCUCUUAAGAUUUGAAGGUUUAAAACUUUCGGAAUAAAAAGAGUUUAUAUUGGAAAUACUAUAAUAAAGGAAAUUAUCUAACACCUAA
Molecule: long non-coding RNA, 1388 nt
Filed under: Mus musculus (house mouse)
Lineage: Eukaryota; Metazoa; Chordata; Mammalia; Rodentia; Muridae
Description: predicted gene, 52298 (Gm52298)
Source: RNAcentral